GACGAACGCUGGCGGCGUGCUUAACACAUGCAAGUCGAACGGUAAACCUCUUCGGGGGGGGUCAGUGGCGAACGGGUGGGUAACACGUGGGCAACCUGCCCCCGGCUCUGGGAUAACUACAAGAAGUAGGGGCUAAUACCGGAUGGUCACCGCUUCCCGCAUGGGUGGUGGUGAAAAGGGUUUGCGGCUGGGGAUGGGCACGCGGCGUAUCAGCUUGUUGGUGGGGUGGUGGCGGACCAAGGCGACGACGGGGAGCCGGCCUGAGAGGGUGAGCGGCCACACGGGGACUGAGAGACGGACCCGACUCCUACGGGCGGCAGCAGUGGGGAAUAUUGCGCAAUGGGAGGAAGCCUGACGCAGCGACGCCGCGGGGGUGAUGACGGCUUGCGGGUAGUAACCUUCUUUCAGCAGGGACGACGCGCUAGUGACGGUACCUGCAGAAGAAGCACCGGCUAACUACGUG
This 463-nucleotide ribosomal RNA is filed under the name uncultured bacterium. RNAcentral's name for it is "partial 16S ribosomal RNA". It matches the Rfam family "Bacterial small subunit ribosomal RNA", at positions 28 to 507 of the family's 1533-position model. The record is from RNAcentral.